Molecule: ribosomal RNA, 494 nt
Filed under: uncultured Mogibacterium sp.
Lineage: Bacteria; Bacillati; Bacillota; Clostridia; Peptostreptococcales; Anaerovoracaceae
Description: partial 16S ribosomal RNA
Source: RNAcentral
CACGUAGUUAGCCGGGGCUUGCUCCUAAGGUACCGUCAUUUGUUUCUUCCCUUAGAACAGAAGUUUACAACCCGAAGGCCUUCAUCCUUCACGCGGCGUUGCUGCAUCAGGCUUUCGCCCAUUGUGCAAGAUUCCCUACUGCUGCCUUCCGUAGAAGUUUGGACCGUGUCUCAGUUCCAAUGUGGCCGAUCACCCUCUCAGGUCGGCUACUGAUCGUCACCUUGGUGAGCCGUUACCUCACCAACUAGUUAAUCAGACGCAGGCCCAUCCCUGACCGAUAAAUCUUUGACCGAUGAAGCAUGUGCUUCUACGGUGUCAUGAGGUUUUAAUCAUCGUUUCCAAUGGCUAUCCCUCUGUCAGGGGCAGGUUGCCUACGCGUUACUCACCCGUCCGCCGCUUUCCGUUAGCAUAAUCCCCCGAAGGUUCAUGCGCUAACAUCUCGCUCGACUUGCAUGUAUUAGGCACGCCGCCAGCGUUCAUCCUGAGCCAGGAUC